This 76-nucleotide transfer RNA is filed under the name bacterium. Its description in RNAcentral is "tRNA-Ala". It matches the Rfam family "tRNA". From Rfam's summary of the family: Transfer RNA (tRNA) molecules are approximately 80 nucleotides in length. Their secondary structure includes four short double-helical elements and three loops (D, anti-codon, and T loops). Further hydrogen bonds mediate the characteristic L-shaped molecular structure. tRNAs have two regions of fundamental functional importance: the anti-codon, which is responsible for specific mRNA codon recognition, and the 3' end, to which the tRNAs corresponding amino acid is attached (by aminoacyl-tRNA synthetases). tRNAs cope with the degeneracy of the genetic code in two manners: having more than one tRNA (with a specific anti-codon) for a particular amino acid; and 'wobble' base-pairing, i.e. permitting non-standard base-pairing at the 3rd anti-codon position. The record is from RNAcentral. RNAcentral also lists the same sequence under 2 other names.
GGGCCUGUGGCGCAGCUGGAAGCGCGUCUGCAUGGCAUGCAGAAGGUCAGGAGUUCGAAUCUCCUCAGGUCCACCA